ACGGGAGGCAGCAGUGGGGGAUAUUGCACAAUGGGGGAAACCCUGAUGCAGCAACGCCGCGUGAGGGAAGACGGUCUUCGGAUUGUAAACCUAAGUUGUCAGGGACGAAUUUUGACGGUACCUGAAGAGAAAGCUCCGGCUAACUACGUGCCAGCAGCCGCGGUAAUACGUAGGGAGCGAGCGUUGUCCGGAUUUACUGGGUGUAAAGGGUGCGUAGGCGGGUCUGCAAGUCAGACGUGAAAUGCCGGGGCUUAACUCCGGAGCUGCGUUUGAAACUGUAGAUCUUGAGUGAAGUAGAGGCAAGCGGAAUUCCUAGUGUAGCGGUGAAAUGCGUAGAUAUUAGGAGGAACACCAGUGGCGAAGGCGGCUUGCUGGGCUUUAACUGACGCUGAGGCACGAAAGCGUGGGGAGCAAACAGGAUUAGAUACCCUGGUA
Molecule: ribosomal RNA, 435 nt
Filed under: uncultured Clostridium sp.
Lineage: Bacteria; Bacillati; Bacillota; Clostridia; Eubacteriales; Clostridiaceae
Description: partial 16S ribosomal RNA
Rfam family: Bacterial small subunit ribosomal RNA
Source: RNAcentral